This 1192-nucleotide ribosomal RNA is filed under the name Otostrongylus circumlitus. Its description in RNAcentral is "SSU rRNA". It matches the Rfam family "Eukaryotic small subunit ribosomal RNA", at positions 592 to 1831 of the family's 1831-position model. Lineage: Eukaryota; Metazoa; Nematoda; Chromadorea; Rhabditida; Crenosomatidae. The record is from RNAcentral.
CACUAGUGUAAAUCGUCAUUGCUGCGGUUAAAAAGCUCGUAGUUGGAUCUGAGUCGCAUGCAAUGGUUCGCCUUUGGCGUUAACCAUUGUUGUGACUAUUUGCUGGUUUUCUAUUGAAAUUUCGAUUUCUUUAGUGGCUAGCGAGUUUACUUUGAAUAAAUUAGAGUGCUCAGAACAAGCGUUUGCUUGAAUGGUCGAUCAUGGAAUAAUAAAAGAGGACUUCGGUUCUAUUUAUUGGUUCAGGAACUGAAAUAAUGGUUAAGAGGGACAAUUCGGGGGCAUUCGUAUCCCUGCGCGAGAGGUGAAAUUCGUGGACCGCAGGGGGACGCCCUAAAGCGAAAGCAUUUGCCAAGAAUGUCUUCAUUAAUCAAGAACGAAAGUCAGAGGUUCGAAGGCGAUUAGAUACCGCCCUAGUUCUGACCGUAAACUAUGCCAUCUAGCGAUCCGAUGGGGUAUUGUUGCCUUGUCGAGGAGCUUCCCGGAAACGAAAGUCUUUCGGUUCCUGGGGUAGUAUGGUUGCAAAGCUGAAACUUAAAGAAAUUGACGGAAUGGCACCACCAGGAGUGGAGCCUGCGGCUUAAUUUGACUCAACACGGGAAAACUCACCCGGCCCGGACACCGUAAGGAUUGACAGAUUGAAAGCUCUUUCUCGAUUUGGUGGUUGGUGGUGCAUGGCCGUUCUUAGUUGGUGGAGCGAUUUGUCUGGUUUAUUCCGAUAACGAGCGAGACUCUAGCCUGCUAAAUAGUGACAAGAUUUUUAUGUCUAGUCUACUUCUUAGAGGGAUAAGCGGUGUUUAGCCGCACGAGAUUGAGCGAUAACAGGUCUGUGAUGCCCUUAGAUGUCCGGGGCUGCACGCGCGCUACAAUGGAAGAAUCAGUUGGCCUAUCCAUUGCCGAAAGGUAUUGGUAAACCGUUGAAACUCUUCCGUGACCGGGAUAGGGAAUUGUAAUUAUUUCCCUUGAACGAGGAAUUCCUAGUAAGUGUGAGUCAUCAGCUCACGCUGAUUACGUCCCUGCCAUUUGUACACACCGCCCGUCGCUGUCCGGGACUGAGCUGUCUCGAGAGGACUGCGGACUGCUGUAUUGAGGCCUUCGGGUCGUGGUAUAGCGGGAAACAGUUCAAUCGCAAUGGCUUGAACCGGGUAAAAGUCGUAACAAGGUAUCUGUAGGUGAACCUGCAGAUGGAUCAUCG